GCAGUCGCCACGGUAAUACGUAGGGUGCAAGCGUUAAUCGGAAUUACUGGGCGUAAAGCGUGCGCAGGCGGUUUGUUAAGACAGAUGUGAAAUCCCCGGGCUUAACCUGGGAACUGCAUUUGUGACUGGCGGGCUAGAGUAUGGCAGAGGGGGGUAGAAUUCCACGUGUAGCAGUGAAAUGCGUAGAGAUGUGGAGGAAUACCGAUGGCGAAGGCAGCCCCCUGGGCCAAUACUGACGCUCAUGCACGAAAGCGUGGGGAGCAAACAGGAUUAGAUACCCGAGUAGUCCCUGUCUCUUAUAC
RNAcentral lists this ribosomal RNA (302 nucleotides) under uncultured bacterium. Its description in RNAcentral is "partial 16S ribosomal RNA". It matches the Rfam family "Bacterial small subunit ribosomal RNA", at positions 508 to 807 of the family's 1533-position model. The record is from RNAcentral.